RNAcentral lists this ribosomal RNA (253 nucleotides) under uncultured bacterium. RNAcentral describes it as "partial 16S ribosomal RNA". It matches the Rfam family "Bacterial small subunit ribosomal RNA", at positions 524 to 776 of the family's 1533-position model. The record is from RNAcentral.
UACGGAGGGUGCAAGCGUUAUCCGGAAUUACUGGGUUUAAAGGGUGCGUAGGCGGCUGUAUAAGUCAGAGGUGAAAGGCUGUCGCUUAACGAUAGAAUUGCCUUUGAUACUGUAUAGCUCGAAGCUAGGUGAGGUUGGCGGAAUGUGACAUGUAGCGGUGAAAUGCAUAGAUAUGUCAUAGAACACCGAUUGCGAAGGCAGCUGGCUAACCUAAGUUUGACGCUGAGGCGCGAAAGCGUGGGUAGCAAACAGG